This 253-nucleotide ribosomal RNA is filed under the name uncultured bacterium. RNAcentral describes it as "partial 16S ribosomal RNA". It matches the Rfam family "Bacterial small subunit ribosomal RNA", at positions 524 to 776 of the family's 1533-position model. The record is from RNAcentral.
GACGAACCGUGCGAACGUUGUUCGGAAUCACUGGGCUUAAAGGGCGCGUAGGCGGACCCCCAAGUCCGGGGUGAAAUCCUCCGGCUUAACCGGAGAAUUGCCUGGGAUACUGGGGGUCUUGAGGGAGGUAGGGGCACGCGGAACUUCCGGUGGAGCGGUGAAAUGCGUUGAUAUCGGAAGGAACGCCGGUGGCGAAAGCGGCGUGCUGGCCCUCUUCUGACGCUGAGGCGCGAAAGCCAGGGGGGCGAACGGG